UCUGGGAUAAGCCUGGGAAACUGGGUCUAAUACCGGAUAGGAGCGUCCACCCGAUGGUGGGUGUUGGAAAGAUUUAUCGGUUUUGGAUGGACUCCGGGCCUAUCAGCUUGUUGAGUGAGGUAAUGGCUCACCAAGGCGACGACGGGUAGCCGGCCUGAGAGGGCAGUCGGCCACACUGGGACUGAGACACGGCCCAGACUCCUACGGGAGGCAGCAGUGGGGAAUAUUGCACAAUGGGCGCAAGCCUGAUGCAGCGACGCCGCGUGAGGGAUGACGGCCUUCGGGUUGUAAACCUCUUUAUGACAGGGAAGAAGCGAAAGUGACGGUACCUGCAGAAGAAGCACCUGGCUAACUACGUGCCAGCAGCCGCGGUAAUACGUAGGGUGCGAGCGUUAUCCGGUAAUUAUUGGGCGUAAAGAGCUCGUAGGCGGUUUGUCGCGUCUGUCGUGAAAGUCCCGGGCUUAACCCCGGAUCUCGGGUGGGUACGGGCAGACUAGAGUGCAGUAGGGGAGACUGGAAUUCCUGGUGUAGCGGUGGAAUGCGCAGAUAUCAGGAGGAACACUAGCGGCGAAG
This 573-nucleotide ribosomal RNA is filed under the name Micrococcus luteus. RNAcentral's name for it is "bacterial SSU rRNA". It matches the Rfam family "Bacterial small subunit ribosomal RNA", at positions 137 to 720 of the family's 1533-position model. The record is from RNAcentral. Lineage: Bacteria; Bacillati; Actinomycetota; Actinomycetes; Micrococcales; Micrococcaceae.